GACGAACGCUGGCGGCGUGCUUAACACAUGCAAGUCGAGCGGUAAGGCCCUUUCGGGGGUACACGAGCGGCGAACGGGUGAGUAACACGUGGGUGACCUGCCCUUAGCUCUGGGAUAAGCCUGGGAAACUGGGUCUAAUACCGGAUAUGACUCCAUGACGCAUGUUGUGGGGUGGAAAGCCUUGUGCGGCUAGGGAUGGGCCCGCGGCCUAUCAGCUUGUUGGUGGGGUGAUGGCCACCAAGGCGACGACGGGUAGCCGGCCUGAGAGGGCGACCGGCCACACUGGGACUGAGACACGGCCCAGACUCCUACGGGAGGCAGCAGGUGGGGAAUCUUGCGCAAUGGGCGAAAGCCUGACGCAGCGACGCCGCGUGAGGGAUGACGCCU
RNAcentral lists this ribosomal RNA (387 nucleotides) under uncultured bacterium. RNAcentral's name for it is "bacterial SSU rRNA". It matches the Rfam family "Bacterial small subunit ribosomal RNA", at positions 28 to 416 of the family's 1533-position model. The record is from RNAcentral.